GACGAACGCUGGUGGCGUGCUUAACACAUGCAAGUCGAACGAUGAUGCCCAGCUUGCUGGGCGGAUUAGUGGCGAACGGGUGAGUAACACGUGAGUAACCUGCCCUUGACUUCGGGAUAACUCCGGGAAACCGGGGCUAAUACCGGAUAUGAGCCGUCCUCGCAUGGGGGUGGUUGGAAAGUUUUUCGGUCAGGGAUGGGCUCGCGGCCUAUCAGCUUGUUGGUGGGGUGAUGGCCUACCAAGGCGACGACGGGUAGCCGGCCUGAGAGGGCGACCGGCCACACUGGGACUGAGACACGGCCCAGACUCCUACGGGAGGCAGCAGUGGGGAAUAUUGCACAAUGGGCGAAAGCCUGAUGCAGCGACGCCGCGUGAGGGAUGAAGGCCUUCGGGUUGUAAACCUCUUUCAGCAGGGAAGAAGCGCAAGUGACGGUACCUGCAGAAGAAGCGCCGGCUAACUACGUGCCAGCAGCCGCGGUAACACGUAGGGCGCAAGCGUUGUCCGGAAUUAUUGGGCGUAAAGAGCUCGUAGGCGGUUUGUCGCGUCUGGUGCGAAAACUCGAGGCUCAACCUCGAGCUUGCAUCGGGUACGGGCAGACUAGAGUGCGGUAGGGGAGACUGGAAUUCCUGGUGUAGCGGUGGAAUGCGCAGAUAUCAGGAGGAACACCGAUGGCGAAGGCAGGUCUCUGGGCCGCAACUGACGCUGAGGAGCGAAAGCAUGGGGAGCGAACAGG
Molecule: ribosomal RNA, 734 nt
Filed under: uncultured Cellulosimicrobium sp.
Lineage: Bacteria; Bacillati; Actinomycetota; Actinomycetes; Micrococcales; Promicromonosporaceae
Description: bacterial SSU rRNA
Rfam family: Bacterial small subunit ribosomal RNA
Source: RNAcentral